RNAcentral lists this long non-coding RNA (2473 nucleotides) under Dicentrarchus labrax (European seabass). Its description in RNAcentral is "lncRNA (ENSDLAG00005029189.1)". The record is from RNAcentral. Lineage: Eukaryota; Metazoa; Chordata; Actinopteri; Moronidae.
UGAAAUUUGCUUUCCUGGAAACACAAACUCACACACUCCUCUCUGAUAGGAUGAGGUCACUGUGUCGGCUCGUCCAGGUGCAGGAGGAUUUUGAAGCCAGUGUUAAGGACAUACUGGAGGGCGUAGAUGGCCUCUGGGCUCAGCUGGAGGAGCUGCACACCGGAGUCACGCUCACCAAAGAGGGGAGCCGGAGCCACAGAGACCUGGCCUCGGCCCAGACAGACGCAGCGGUAAGCAGGGUUUUUAAAGUGCUGGAUUUGUUUAGCUUUCAGUUAAUCUGAACUACUUUUUAGUUACGACUAAGAAAUAUGUUUUUGUCGGGUUUCCAAAGUUAAGUUGCGUCUACAACAACAACAGUUGUCUUCUUAGAACCAUGAAUCUUGGUGAUUGCGUUAACAUUUGCCAUGUCGCUGCCUUUGAGUGUUGUUUGUAAUACUCCUACGUGUUUGGCAAAGGCUUUGUUCGCAGUCUUGGGUCACUACAGGAACAGGCUUCAGUGCUGCCAGACUCGUCUGGAGGACAGCACACAACUGCUGCAGGAGCUAACCUGGAGUCACACUCAUAUAAGCAACAGUGUGAGCAGCAGCAGUGAGUCAGUUUGGCCGGAGCUGUUGCUUCAGUCCAACAUUGAGCAGUUUGACAAGGUGCAGGAGAGUUUCCUCUCCCUGGAACAACAGACCUCAACGUUCCAGGCCCACCUGGAGGGACUUGGAAAGGAGAAUCAGGAAGGACACGCAGGGCCCCUCGGUUAUGCUAACGGGGCCCAUUCAUGCCCAGUGUCCCCACAGAGUUCCCCACAUCUCCACAGUGGACGCACAAGCAGUGUGUCACUGGAGCACCGUAACUCGACCUCUGCAUCCGUAUCUGUGUCCUCAGCAGAUGCAGACUCGGACACAGAAGCAGACGCUCCUCUGUCACUGUGUGAGAGGUCGGCACUGCAGUUAACCUCCACUGUCGGACGCCUGCGUAAAUCUGGAAGGAAGAAGUGACUUUUAUUGGACUUUAGACAUUUUGUAAAUAGAAUACAAGAAGAAUACAAGAGAGAAUAUUUUCAAAUGUUGAUCAUUUGCUGAUUAUUUAUUGCUUCCUGUGAUUGCAUUACUGUGUUUUACUACUAAGCUUUAACUUUUCAUUUCAAGGACUGCAUGGCUGGUUUUUAAAGCUUGCAAGUGCAUCUUUUUAAAUUCAGUGAAACACAAGGGGGCACACUUUCACCAGUUAUUUCAGGCACAAACAGACAGCACAAAUUAUACAUUGUACAGUCAUCUCAGAUCUCUGUCUGCAAUGACAGGCCGUGGCCCUGAUCUUUUCCUUUCAAUCAACUUUAUAGGAGGAAAGGGAUGAACAGGCUCCUAAAACAUAUGGCCCAUAAAUGUGUUUCUUUAAGAUCAGAACAGUCAGUCAACUUGUGUCUGAAGAAUGACAUUUUUAGAGUAAGUUAGAGAGUUAAUUUCACCAACCUCCUUUUUGCACUUGAAAAUUAUAAUGUAAUGUUUUUAUUUAUUUUUUAUUAUUGUACUACUUAUAAAACAUAUCCAAUGUCUGUUACAACUCUUUUAACAAGUGUACAUUUAUCAACGACUGCUUAGUGAAUAUGUUCUUCUAAGGUGCAGGAGGAACAGGUUACAGGUUAAGAAGUCCCAGACUUUUUCUCUUUUUCACAACUAUUUUUCGUUCCGUCUCUCUCUAUCAGACUCUGCGAUGACUUGAGCCCUUCAAAGCAGGGAUUUUAGGUUCAGGGGCGGGGGGGGGGGAGGAAGGUAGAAGGGGGCAGUGGAGGUCAACGCCGGAAGCGUUUCUGUUAUUACUAAAAACUGAGCAGUCCUCUAGACCUUUUUGAAAGACAUGAAUGUCUUUGAUCCAAAUUCAAUUACCCUACAGCUUCAACACUGAUAGCAUGGAAGUCGACAUAGUAUUCUCCACCAGAUUCCCGACUUUUCUUACCAGAGCAAACAGGAUUUCUGAUGAGAAUCAAUUCAUUCAUGGCCGCUGUUAAGUGCUAAUUGUAGGGAGUCAGUACAGUAUGCAUGACGUGGAUGUCACUUGACCAUGGACUUGCCUACCAUCUGCCAGAUCCUGCAUCUGUCUGAUUCACUCACACUGGGUCAGUGAUUGGGAGAGGUGGGGCUGACCCCAAGGGGGAUCUGGGAUGAAAGGAAUGUAAGCUGAACACUGCAGGAUCCGAGCUGUCACAACACCAAAGACACAAACACACCAUGUCUGGAUGGAUGGAGGGAUGUAAAGACUGUGGGAGGAGAGAUGUUGUGUGUUUGGUUAUUUGAAGUUAGUGACAAGAGCUUUGAAUAAAAAAAAAUUAAAAAAAAUGUUAUGACAUGCCGCAUGAAUAUGUAACAUUUUCCACGAAUCAGUCCUGAAUACACAGAACAUAACGGUCUUGGAUGCUUGCUUACAAUAACAAUGACCACAUUUGCUUUGAGGUCCAACAGUCAAAAGACAACAACAGAGGUUUUUG